UAAACGACUCUCGGCAACGGAUAUCUCGGCUCACGCAUCGAUGAAGAACGUAGCAAAAUGCGAUACUUGGUUUGAAUUGCAGAAUCCCGUGAACCAUCGAGUUUUUGAACGCAAGUUGCGCCCGAAGCCAUUCGGCCGAGGGCACGUCUGCCUGGGCGUCACGC
This 164-nucleotide ribosomal RNA is filed under the name Centaurea horrida. RNAcentral describes it as "5.8S ribosomal RNA". It matches the Rfam family "5.8S ribosomal RNA". From Rfam's summary of the family: 5.8S ribosomal RNA (5.8S rRNA) is a component of the large subunit of the eukaryotic ribosome. It is transcribed by RNA polymerase I as part of the 45S precursor that also contains 18S and 28S rRNA. The record is from RNAcentral. Lineage: Eukaryota; Viridiplantae; Streptophyta; Magnoliopsida; Asterales; Asteraceae.